Molecule: long non-coding RNA, 2029 nt
Organism: Equus caballus (horse)
Lineage: Eukaryota; Metazoa; Chordata; Mammalia; Perissodactyla; Equidae
Source: Ensembl
AAGAGGUUUUUACUACUGCGAGGGUCUGAGCUAUACAAUUUAUGACACCGUCUCCAUUCACGUGAGCCAUUACCAAGUGAAAUUCCUCACAGUUCACAUGGCCCAGAGUGCCUCCAUAUCGGACCACUAUAGUUUUUGGACAAUUGUAAAAUUAAAAGGACAGGAGUUACGUGGACCUAAAGGUAGCGCAGGACCCUAAGGCCUCAAAGAACAGGGAGGUGAUUGUGAGCAAUCUUAGAACCUAAGAGUCAUUCAUUGGUUAUUCAUUAGACACAGGGCAUGUCGAUCCUCGCUUCUCAGCAAAUGAGCUUGGAGCUCAUGGUGAGGGGGCGUGGCCCUCUGACCUCUGGCCCCGCCCCCGUCACCUGCCUAGCGGGCUCUUCGCGCCUUGUCCGCUUCGGUCUGAGGCGCCUCUCCUGACACUGCUGCCCUGCCCUUCGCCCCUGGGGCCUCCUCGGGCACCCCACAGACUGUUGUCCCCUCAGCAGCGCACUCCUCUGCCGCCCCGUCGGUCCGCCUCAGGCCGGGCCCCACUGCCCACAGCCUCCCCUCAGCGGCGGCCACCUCGGGGGCCACCAUCUUUGCUGUCGACGCCACAGCCUGAUCGCCACCCCAGUUGAGGUACCGCCUGGCGCCAUGUCUGCCGCAGGAGAAGGAGACCUGGCCGCAGGUGGCCUGAACAGGCCUGUGGGCGUGCCGGGGGCGUGGGCCCUGGCGGCCGGCUGGUCGGCGACUCGGGGCCCCACGGGGCGGCGAGAGUCACGGCGGCGGCGGCGGCGGGAGCCCUCGGGGAGGCGGCGGGGGAGCCGGGGGCCGGCGGCCCGGAGGGCGGGAGCGCCGAGGAGGACUCGGACAUCGAGCCGGCAGAGGAGGGCGAGGAGGCGGCGGCGGGCCGCCUGGCGGUGGACGCGGCGCAGUUCCCGCGGGCGAGCUUACGCCUCCUCUUCCUGGAGUUCGCGCAGUCGCUGCUGCGCCGCCUCUUCUACAAUAACCACGUGCUGCUGCGGCCAUGGCCUCUGGCUCACGACGGCUUGGCUCAGCGCCCCGCGCCCCGCGGGCCGGCGCCGCAAGAGCUGGCCGCCUGCGCCCUGCCGCCGGUCCAGGAGCCGGGGAAGGGGGCCGCGACCCAGGAGCCCGCGGAGGAGGCCGCCGCCCCGGAGGAAACAACUAAAUAUCGGUGUGAAAACUCGAAUGAAGAGGCCCACGACGCUGAAGACAAGGACGAAAAAGAGAAGUUUAACAAAAAACAAGAAGGACCCGAAAACGCUCUGGACCCCACAGACAGCACACCGAGAAAAUCCAGUUGGGAGGAAUAGAAAGAAGAUGGAGAAAGAAGAAAGAACCUGCUCUUCACCCUUUAGGUUUUUCGUUUUUUAGAAGCCCAAGGGAAUUUUAUCAACACUGAUUUCAUUCCAACUUCAUCACCCCAAAAGUGACAUCCACUGACAUCUGACUUUUCCCUUACAUUUUGCAGAUAUAUUUGACAGCAUUUCUUCUAGUUAAAAAAUUUGUUUUAAAUUAAUAAACUGAAAUGAAGGCAGAUUUUAUUUACAUAAAUAAUCCUGACAAAUCUUUUACCUCAUUUUUUUUUUUUUUGGCUUACUGUACCUUCAUUAAGACUUAUCACUUUCCACCAUUUGGUAAGCCUAUAUUUAUUAUUUUAUUGUAGCUCAAAAUAAGUUAAAAUGUCAAGUUUAAAAUAAUUUUGUGAAGAGAGAGAUGGAGGUCAAGCCUUUAAUGCUGCACUGUCCACUGUUAGUCACUAGCCACAUCUGGCUCCUGAGCACUUGAAAUAUGGCUAGUCUGAUUUGAGAUGUGCUACAGGUAUAAAAAAAAGUUACAUGUCUUACUAAUAAUUUUAUACUGAUUACAUGUUGAAGUGAUAAUAUAUUGAAUUAAAAUAUACUAUUAAAAUUAAUUUUGCCAGUUUCUUUUUACUUUUUUAAUGUGGCUACUAGAAAACAAAAUUACACAUGUGAUUGCGUUAUAUGUCUAUGAGGCAGCGCUGCUCUGGAGCAUGGUUUUGAAG